This 1332-nucleotide ribosomal RNA is filed under the name Triticum aestivum (bread wheat). RNAcentral describes it as "partial small subunit ribosomal RNA". Lineage: Eukaryota; Viridiplantae; Streptophyta; Magnoliopsida; Poales; Poaceae. The record is from RNAcentral.
AUGUCGCUGGCUCUUGUGCAUGGGCAUCGACUUCCUAACGACGUCGGGACGGUGCUGAGGUGCUCCACCACUGGAAUUGCGUUGAACUGGAAAGAGAAACAAAACGAAGAUUCGAUAUGGCUCCUGCCACCAUAUCGAAGGUCGUCUAUCGGGGGCGGAAGGAUCGAGGAGAAGCGAUCGACGGAGAUGUCAGGUGGAGGCAUCCACGCUCUAGGCGACGACGCUCUGGUGCAGAUCCUUGUCCGCCUCCCUUCCGUGUCCGUGCUCCGUUGCCGUGCCGUAUGCAAGGAUUGGCGGCGUGUCACCGUCGACCGUUCCUUCCUCGCCGCCCAUGCCGCCAACCGCCCACUCGAGAUGAUCGUCCAAUCUAGUUUCCCACACUGGACAGUGGAAGCCAUCCCUCUCGACGACCCGGCGCAGUUGACGGAUCGCUUCCUUUGCUACUAUGCCCCCUCCGCCGACGUCCGCAAUGUGUUGUAUUCUCUCCACGGCUUGCUCGUGCUGGCGCAACAUCAUGGCUUCUUUGUCAUCUGCAACCCGACCACCAGGCAGUGGACCAACCUGCCGGAGCUGGGUCAGCAAUCCUAUUGCGCUGUCUUCGAGUGCGGCUUCUACUUCCACAGCUUCUCCGGCGAGUACCGCCUUUUAUGUCAUGCCGUUGAGAUAGCCCCAGAAGAAUAUAACAAUAGGUUCGACCCUGACACGAAGCGUUACUACUACAUCCUUUCAGCUGGUGCCAUCCUGCCGCGUCGACUCGGGCGAGCUCCUUCCAGCCCGGGAAACCUUAGCUAUGAGGUUCCAGUGGCUCAUCGUGGGACUCUUCAUUGGCUCUCUAAGCACCCUCAAGCCAACCGCACCGGCAAGAUGCUAGCGUUCGACACCACUUUUGAGACAUUCCGACUCAUGUCGGGGCCGCUGCUAGAUGAUACCAUGAGGACGACCUUGUUUGAGCUCGAUGGGGAGCUCGGGGUCGCCGCUAUGCAGAGCUUGACGUCCCUCGACAUAUGGGUCCUACAAGACUACAAGGCCGAGACAUGGACAUUGCGCCAUCGGGUCGAUGUCCCGAUGCCCAUAUUUCACUACCACCAUCAAAUAUCAGUGAGCAAGGUCAUUUCUGUUGGGAACGGUGCCAUUCUCAUUGGAGCUCCCACCUGUGAGGUGGCUCGGAUGUACCAUCUCAAAGAGAAGAGGGUGAUUUGCAGAGAUUUCACCUUCAAUGUUGCAAGAACUGCAACGUUCUUAGUAUUCAAUGAGAGCCUCGUGCCACAUACCUUCUUCGAUUCCCCUCGCUGCCCGAAUCUCGAAACUAUAUACUUCUCUAUCAAGAGUUAG